UUUAAAUGUAAAAUAAAUAUACUAAAGUAGUAUUAGUUAUGUUCUUGAAAUUUAAAGAUUUUGGCGGUAUUUUAGUCUAUUUAGAGGAGCCUGUUCUAUGAUUGAUAAUCCACGAUUAAUUUUACUUAAUUUAUAUAAAUUUGUAUACCGUCGUUAUAAGAAGAUUUUAAAAGAAUUUAAAUUUUUAAUAUUUUAUAUAAAAAAGUAUAUCAGAUCAAGGUGCAGUUUAUAGUUAAGAAGAAAUGGGCUACAAUAAAUUUAUUUAAUUAAACGGAUUGAAGAAAGAAUUUGACUUUAUGAAGGUGGAUUUAAUAGUAAUAAAAUUAAUUUAAAUUUUAUGAUUUUAGCUCUAAAAUAUG
RNAcentral lists this ribosomal RNA (359 nucleotides) under Carabus nitididorsus nitididorsus. RNAcentral describes it as "partial 12S ribosomal RNA". Lineage: Eukaryota; Metazoa; Arthropoda; Insecta; Coleoptera; Carabidae. The record is from RNAcentral.